Molecule: ribosomal RNA, 253 nt
Filed under: uncultured bacterium
Lineage: Bacteria
Description: partial 16S ribosomal RNA
Rfam family: Bacterial small subunit ribosomal RNA
Source: RNAcentral
UACGUAGGGUGCGAGCGUUGUUCGGAAUUACUGGGCGUAAAGCGCGUGUAGGCGGCCCUGCAAGUCGGAUGUGAAAUCCCACGGCUCAACCGUGGAAGUGCAUUCGAAACUGCAGGGCUAGAGUCCUGGAGAGGAAGGUGGAAUGCUUGGUGUAGAGGUGAAAUUCGUAGAUAUCAAGCGGAACACCGGUGGCGAAGGCGGCCUUCUGGACAGUGACUGACGCUGAGACGCGAAAGCGUGGGGAGCAAACAGG